RNAcentral lists this non-coding RNA (622 nucleotides) under Pongo abelii (Sumatran orangutan). Lineage: Eukaryota; Metazoa; Chordata; Mammalia; Primates; Hominidae. The record is from RNAcentral.
GUUUUUGGCCUUUUCUUUAUAUAUGUGGCCUAUCAAUAUCAUGUGUUUGGAAAAGCAUAAACUUAAGGCAUCACCUUUACAGAAAAUAUCUUCCAUGGAAACAUCUAAAGGCAAAAAUCCUUCAAAUUCAAAUUUAUCCAAUCAUUUCUUCUGCUUACUACCAUCCUAAAUCAUUUUUCUUUAGUAAGAUCUAUUAGUGUGAAGCUAUUAAGCUAUUAAUGUAAGUAUCAUAUUAAUGUAUUAAGAUAUUAAGUGAGGAAGUAAAGUUGCAUUCAUAGGCCUUGAACUUUUCCACAUCUCGAUUUUUACCCAUCAUCUCUGCAUAUUUUCCUAAGGCAGCCUUCAAAUGGUGAUGUUUCCUGUCAUCCAGAGUUCAGAAGUGCCUUCUCUUCAACCUUUCUGUGGAAUUCUAAACCACGUGAUAAAGGAGCUGGUGGCCACAGAUCAGCCCUGGGGUUCAGAGGGAUCCUGACGGCUACUCCUCAAGAUCCUCUCUGUUGUGAUUCAUCCCCCCCAGGCCCUACAGUUUCUCCUUCCUGACUCUUACAUUUCUUUGGAUGGCAUCACUAUUUUAGUUGCCAAGCACUGUGGAUUCUACCCCUCAGGGUCCAGACACCCAUUU